Molecule: ribosomal RNA, 1334 nt
Filed under: Litoditis cf. marina ZZ-2021
Lineage: Eukaryota; Metazoa; Nematoda; Chromadorea; Rhabditida; Rhabditidae
Description: SSU rRNA
Rfam family: Eukaryotic small subunit ribosomal RNA
Source: RNAcentral
AGAAUAAGGGUUCGACUCCGGAGAGGGAGCCUUAGAAACGGCUUCCACAUCCAAGGAAGGCAGCAGGCGCGUAACUUAUCCACUACUUCAGUGAGAUAGUGACUAAAAAUAAAAAGACCGAUCCUAUGGAUCGGUUAUUUCAAUGAGUUGAGCUUAAAUAGCUCUUCGAGGACCCAGUGGAGGGCAAGUCUGGUGCCAGCAGCCGCGGUAAUUCCAGCUCCACUAGUGUAAAUCGUCAUUGCUGCGGUUAAAAAGCUCGUAGUUGGAUCUGACUCACGUACGUUGGUUCGCCUCUGGCGUUAAUCUUCGUUGUGACUAUUUUGCUGGUUUUCUGUGGGUAACUUCGGUUCCUGCAGUGGCUAGCGAGUUUACUUUGAAUAAAUUAGAGUGCUCAAAACAAGCGAUUGCUUGAAUGCUCGAUCAUGGAAUAAUAAAAGAGGACUUCGGUUCUAUUUAUUGGUUCAAGAACUGAAUUAAUGGUUAAGAGGGACAAUUCGGGGGCAUUCGUAUCCCUGCGCGAGAGGUGAAAUUCGUGGACCGCAGGGGGACGCCCAAAAUCGAAAGCAUUUUGCCAAGAAUGUCUUCAUUAAUCAAGAACGAAAGUCAGAGGUUCGAAGGCGAUUAGAUACCGCCCUAGUUCUGACCGUAAACUAUGCCAUCUAGCGAUCCGAUGGGGCAUCUUUGCCUCGUCGGGGAGCUUCCCGGAAACGAAAGUCUUUCGGUUCCUGGGGUAGUAUGGUUGCAAAGCUGAAACUUAAAGAAAUUGACGGAAGGGCACCACCAGGAGUGGAGCCUGCGGCUUAAUUUGACUCAACACGGGAAAACUCACCCGGCCCGGACACCGUUAGGAUUGACAGAUUGAAAGCUCUUUCUCGAUUUGGUGGUUGGUGGUGCAUGGCCGUUCUUAGUUGGUGGAGCGAUUUGUCUGGUUUAUUCCGAUAACGAGCGAGACUCUAGCCUACUAAAUAGUUUCUGGAUCUUUUAGUCCAGUUAACUUCUUAGAGGGAUAAGCGGUGUUUAACCGCACGAGAUUGAGCGAUAACAGGUCUGUGAUGCCCUUAGAUGUCCGGGGCUGCACGCGCGCUACACUGGAAGAAUCAGCUGGUCUUCCAUUGCCGAAAGGUAUUGGUAAACCGUUGAAACUCUUCCGUGACCGGGAUAGGGAAUUGUAAUUAUUUCCCUUGAACGAGGAAUUCCUAGUAAGUGUGAGUCAUCAGCUCACGUUGAUUACGUCCCUGCCCUUUGUACACACCGCCCGUCGCUGUCCGGGACUGAGCUGUUUCGAGAAGAGUGAGGACUGCUGCAGCGAGGCUUCGGCUUUACUGUGACUGGAA